RNAcentral lists this ribosomal RNA (477 nucleotides) under uncultured bacterium. Its description in RNAcentral is "partial 16S ribosomal RNA". It matches the Rfam family "Bacterial small subunit ribosomal RNA", at positions 29 to 507 of the family's 1533-position model. The record is from RNAcentral.
AUGAACGCUGGCGGCGUGCUUAACACAUGCAAGUCGAACGGGAAACCUUUUAUUGAAGCUUCGGCAGAUUUAGCUGGUUUCUAGUGGCGGACGGGUGAGUAACGCGUGGGUAACCUGCCCUAUACAGGGGGAUAACAACCAGAAAUGGUUGCUAAUACCGCAUAAGCGCACAGGGCCGCAUGGUCCGGUGUGAAAAACUCCGGUGGUAUAGGAUGGACCCGCGUUGGAUUAGCCAGUUGGCAGGGUAACGGCCUACCAAAGCGACGAUCCAUAGCCGGCCUGAGAGGGUGAACGGCCACAUUGGGACUGAGACACGGCCCAGACUCCUACGGGAGGCAGCAGUGGGGAAUAUUGCACAAUGGGGGAAACCCUGAUGCAGCGACGCCGCGUGAAGGAAGAAGUAUCUCGGGAUGUAAACUUCUAUCAGCAGGGAAGAUAGUGACGGUACCUGACUAAGAAGCCCCGGCUAACUACGUG